Molecule: ribosomal RNA, 494 nt
Filed under: Centipeda noxia
Lineage: Bacteria; Bacillati; Bacillota; Negativicutes; Selenomonadales; Selenomonadaceae
Description: bacterial SSU rRNA
Rfam family: Bacterial small subunit ribosomal RNA
Source: RNAcentral
GACGAACGCUGGCGGCGUGCUUAACACAUGCAAGUCGAACGGAGCGAAUGAAAGCUUGCUUUUAUAAGCUUAGUGGCAAACGGGUGAGUAGCACGUAGACAACCUGCCGACAGGAUGGGGACAACAUUCCGAAAGGAAUGCUAAUACCGAAUGAAGUGCAGGGGAGGCAUCUCCCCUGCAUGAAAGAUGGCCUCUUUUUAUGCUAUCACCUGUUGAUGGGUCUGCGUCUGAUUAGCUGGUAGGUGAGGUAACGGCUCACCUAGGCGACGAUCAGUAGCCGGUCUGAGAGGAUGAACGGCCACAUUGGGACUGAGACACGGCCCAGACUCCUACGGGAGGCAGCAGUGGGGAAUCUUCCGCAAUGGGCGCAAGCCUGACGGAGCAACGCCGCGUGAGUGAAGAAGGUCUUCGGAUCGUAAAGCUCUGUUGAUGGGGACGAACGUGCCUAAUGCGAAUAGUUUUAGGCAAUGACGUACCCAUCGAGAAGCCCCGCA